GCUGGCAACCAUUCCAGGGUGUGCCCCCACCUCUUGCCCAGUCAACUAGGAAGGGCUCCAAAUGGAUUGUUCUGAGCAAUGACGUAGAAUAGAAACUAGACUGAACACUCUGCAUCCAACAUUGGUUCCGCCAUGGUCAAAAAGCAAGCUAACGAGAAGUUGCUCUUCUUUUGAUGUCGUAACAGUGAGACGGAAUCCACAGCGCCCCAUGUGGGUCACGUGAGAGCCGGAGCCUAUCCUGGCUGACUUUGAGUAAAAGGCGGGCUCCAUCCUAGACUGGUCAGAAUUCUCCAACGUCCAGUUGAUGACUUAAUGGCAAAUUUGAAUGUAAUCUAAAUAAAACGUUCCAGUAUGUGUUAUGUCAAUUCUUCGUUUACAUACGGCGGUUAUUGUGAUAUUUCUUCAAU
Long non-coding RNA from Syngnathoides biaculeatus (alligator pipefish), 407 nucleotides. RefSeq lists it as uncharacterized. The record is from RefSeq and is a predicted model, not a curated record. Lineage: Eukaryota; Metazoa; Chordata; Actinopteri; Syngnathiformes; Syngnathidae. The transcript has 3 exons.